Molecule: ribosomal RNA, 127 nt
Filed under: uncultured Clostridium sp.
Lineage: Bacteria; Bacillati; Bacillota; Clostridia; Eubacteriales; Clostridiaceae
Description: partial 16S ribosomal RNA
Rfam family: Bacterial small subunit ribosomal RNA
Source: RNAcentral
ACUCCUACGGGAGGCAGCAGUGGGGAAUAUUGCACAAUGGGGGAAACCCUGAUGCAGCGACGCCGCGUGAGUGAAGAAGUAUUUCGGUAUGUAAAGCUCUAUCAGCAGGGAAGAAAAUGACGGUACC